GACGAACGCUGGCGGCGUGCUUAACACAUGCAAGUCGAGCGGUAAGGCCCUUUCGGGGGUACGACGAGCGGCGAACGGGUGAGUAACACGUGGGUGACCUGCCCUCAGCUCUGGGAGUAAGCCUGGGAAACCGGGUCUAAUACUGGAUAUGACUCCAUGACGCAUGUUGUGGGGUGGAAAGCCUUGUGCGGCUGAGGAUGGGCCCGCGGCCUAUCAGCUUGUUGGUGGGGUGAGGCCUACCAAGGCGACGACGGGUAGCCGGCCUGAGAGGGCGACCGGCCACACUGGGACUGAGACACGGCCCAGACUCCUACGGGAGGCAGCAGUGGGGAAUCUUGCGCAAUGGGCGAAAGCCUGACGCAGCGACGCCGCGUGAGGGAUGACGGCCUGG
This 391-nucleotide ribosomal RNA is filed under the name uncultured bacterium. RNAcentral describes it as "bacterial SSU rRNA". It matches the Rfam family "Bacterial small subunit ribosomal RNA", at positions 28 to 419 of the family's 1533-position model. The record is from RNAcentral.